This 867-nucleotide long non-coding RNA is filed under the name Rattus norvegicus (Norway rat). RNAcentral describes it as "long non-coding RNA NONRATT005658". The record is from RNAcentral. Lineage: Eukaryota; Metazoa; Chordata; Mammalia; Rodentia; Muridae.
GCGACCGGAAGUAGGACCCGUGACUUCCGGAUUCUCCUUCACCAAUCCGGGCUGCGGUUGGGUCGGGUUGGUAGUGUUUGCGCCUUUCUGCUUGCUAUGGCCGCGGCCGUCGCUAUGGAGACAGAUGAUGCUGGAAAUCGACUUCGGUUUCAGUUGGAGUUGGAAUUUGUGCAAUGUUUAGCCAACCCAAAUUACCUUAAUUUUCUCGCCCAAAGAGGUUACUUCAAAGACAAAGCUUUUGUUAAUUAUCUUAAGUACUUGCUUUACUGGAAAGAACCAGAAUAUGCCAAAUAUCUAAAGUAAGUUUAAUUUUUAAAAUCCCAAAGCUGUGUGUACUUUAUUAUAAAUACUAAGUGCUAUUAUUUAGCAGUUUUCUCGGUGUCAGAAUGGAAAACAGCAUUUGGGAUCUUUCUGCUUUUAGUUGAUGUAAGACGCUGUUAUCUCUAACUUGGGUUGAUUAUGACAGGAAUUUCAUUUAUUUCUGCUACCAUUCUUACCUCACUCCCUUCAAACAAAACCAAAGAACUGUCUACGUGGGAGCCAGCUUACUCUCUUGGCAGUGUAAGUCAGAGCAUACUGUUCGUGCAGGCUAAGAUCCAGUGAACUGUUGUAGACUACAGUUCUAAUGUAAUUUGGUCGUGUCUAACCAUGUCACUUAGCACUGCCCCUGUCUUUCUGGGGUUUUGAGGCCUAACAACCCAUAACCUGUGACGGUAGGAAGAACUGUUUCCUGAGAGUCUUAGAGGUCCUGCCUUUCUUUGUGGUGUCCUUUGUUUCAAUCACUGUGCGUAUUAACUCACUGUAAAAGAACAGACACAACAAUAUCACAUCAAACUCUGCUUUGACUUAAAAAGAGAAAAGAAAGCC